AUUGAACGCUGGCGGCAUGCUUUACACAUGCAAGUCGAACGGCAGCGCGGGCUUCGGCCUGGCGGCGCGUGGCCAACGGGUGAGUAAUGCAUCCGUACGUGCCCUGUCGUGGGGGAUAGCCCGGCUAAAGCCGGAUUAAUACCGCAUCCGAUCUGAGGGUGAACGCGGGGGACCGAAAGGCCUCGCGCUAUUUGAUCUGCCGAUGUCGGAUUAGCUAGUUGGUUGGGUAAAGGCUUACCAAGGCGACGAUCCGUAGCUGGUCUGAGAGGCCGACCAGCCACACUGGAACUGAGACACGGCCCAGACUCCUACGGGAGGCAGCAGUAGGGAAUUUUGCGCAAUGGGGGAAAGCCUGACGGAGCAAUGCCGCGUGAGUGAUGAAGGCCUUCGGGUUGUAAACCGCUUUUGUUCGGGAAGAAAACCUGUGGGAGAAAACCCGGGGGGGAUGACGGUACCGGAAGAGAAAGCACCGGCUAACUACGUG
Molecule: ribosomal RNA, 484 nt
Filed under: uncultured bacterium
Lineage: Bacteria
Description: partial 16S ribosomal RNA
Rfam family: Bacterial small subunit ribosomal RNA
Source: RNAcentral